GACGAACGCUGGCGGCGUGCUUAACACAUGCAAGUCGAACGGAAAGGCCCUGCUUUUGUGGGGUGCUCGAGUGGCGAACGGGUGAGUAACACGUGAGUAACCUGCCCUUGACUUUGGGAUAACUUCAGGAAACUGGGGCUAAUACCGGAUAGGAGCUCCUGCUGCAUGGUGGGGGUUGGAAAGUUUCGGCGGUUGGGGAUGGACUCGCGGCUUAUCAGCUUGUUGGUGGGGUAGUGGCUUACCAAGGCUUUGACGGGUAGCCGGCCUGAGAGGGUGACCGGCCACAUUGGGACUGAGAGACGGCCCAGACUCCUACGGGAGGCAGCAGUGGGGAAUAUUGCACAAUGGGCGGAAGCCUGAUGCAGCAACGCCGCGUGCGGGAUGACGGCCUUCGGGUUGUAAACCGCUUUCGCCUGUGACGAAGCGUGAGUGGCGGUAAUGGGUAAAGAAGCACCGGCUAACUACGUG
RNAcentral lists this ribosomal RNA (468 nucleotides) under uncultured bacterium. RNAcentral describes it as "partial 16S ribosomal RNA". It matches the Rfam family "Bacterial small subunit ribosomal RNA", at positions 28 to 507 of the family's 1533-position model. The record is from RNAcentral.